CCUACGUGAGGCAGCAGUAGGGAAUCUUCCACAAUGGGCGAAAGCCUGAUGGAGCAACGCCGCGUGGGUGAAGAAGGUCUUCGGAUCGUAAAACCCUGUUGUUAGAGAAGAAAGUGACGGUACCUUAGGAAUAAGCCUCGGCUAACUACGUGCCAGCAGCCGCGGUAAUACGUAGGAGGCAAGCGUUAUCCGGAAUGACUGGGCGUAAAGGGUGCGUAGGUGGUUUGACAAGUUGGUAGCGUAACUCCGGGGCUCAACCUCGGCACUACUACCAAAACUGUGGGACGUGAGUGCAGGAGGGGCAAAUGGAAUUCCUAGUGUAGCGGUGGAAUGCGUAGAUAUUAGGAGGAACACCAGUGGCGAAGGCGAUUUGCUGGACUGUAACUGACACUGAGGCACGAAAGCGUGGGGAGCAAACAGGAUUAGAUACCCUGGUAGUC
This 440-nucleotide ribosomal RNA is filed under the name uncultured bacterium. Its description in RNAcentral is "partial 16S ribosomal RNA". It matches the Rfam family "Bacterial small subunit ribosomal RNA", at positions 338 to 795 of the family's 1533-position model. The record is from RNAcentral.